GACGAACGCUGGCGGCGUGCUUAACACAUGCAAGUCGAACGAUGAACCCGGAGCUUGCUCCGGUGGAUUAGUGGCGAACGGGUGAGUAACACGUGAGUAACCUGCCCUUGACUCUGGGAUAACUGCGGGAAACUGUAGCUAAUACCGGAUACGACCCUCGGCGGCACCGCCAGGGGGUGGAAAGAAAUUCGGUCAAGGAUGGACUCGCGGCCUAUGAGCUAGUUGGUGAGGUAACGGCGCACCAAGGCGACGACGCGUAGCCGGCCUGAGAGGGUGAACGGCCACACGGGGACUGAGACACGGCGCAGACUCGUACGGGAGGCAGCAGUGGGGAAGAUUGCACAAUGGGCGCAAGCCUGAUGCAGCAACGCCGCGUGAGGGAUGACGGCCUUCGGGUUGUAAACCUCUUUUACCCGGGACGAUAAUGACGGUACCGGGAGAAUAAGCCCCGGCUAACUUCGUGCCAGCCGCCGCAGUAA
This 479-nucleotide ribosomal RNA is filed under the name uncultured bacterium. Its description in RNAcentral is "partial 16S ribosomal RNA". It matches the Rfam family "Bacterial small subunit ribosomal RNA", at positions 28 to 523 of the family's 1533-position model. The record is from RNAcentral.